RNAcentral lists this ribosomal RNA (266 nucleotides) under uncultured Staphylococcus sp. RNAcentral describes it as "partial 16S ribosomal RNA". It matches the Rfam family "Bacterial small subunit ribosomal RNA", at positions 96 to 356 of the family's 1533-position model. The record is from RNAcentral. Lineage: Bacteria; Bacillati; Bacillota; Bacilli; Caryophanales; Staphylococcaceae.
CGGCGGACGGGUGAGUAACACGUGGAUAACCUACCUAUAAGACUGGGAUAACUUCGGGAAACCGGAGCUAAUACCGGAUAAUAUAUUGAACCGCAUGGUUCAAUAGUGAAAGACGGUUUUGCUGUCACUUAUAGAUGGAUCCGCGCCGCAUUAGCUAGUUGGUAAGGUAACGGCUUACCAAGGCAACGAUGCGUAGCCGACCUGAGAGGGUGAUCGGCCACACUGUAACUGAGACACGGUCCAGACUCCUACGGGAGGCAGCAGUG